RNAcentral lists this unclassified non-coding RNA (390 nucleotides) under soil metagenome. RNAcentral's name for it is "partial contains 5.8S ribosomal RNA, internal transcribed spacer 2, and large subunit ribosomal RNA". The stretch from base 3 to 121 matches the Rfam family "5.8S ribosomal RNA", at positions 38 to 154 of the family's 154-position model. The record is from RNAcentral.
GAGAAGAACGUAGCGAAAUGCGAUACUUGGUGUGAAUUGCAGAAUCCCGUGAACCAUCGAGUCUUUGAACGCAAGUUGCGCCCGAAGCCAUUAGGCCGAGGGCACGCCUGCCUGGGCGUCACACGUCGUUGCCCCCCCAUCUACUCCUUCGGGAUUGCGGGGGGCGGAUGAUGGCCUCCCGUGCGCCUCGCCGCGCGGUUGGCAUAAAUGCCAAGUCCUCGGCGACGCACGCCACGACAAUCGGUGGUUGCGAAACCUCGGUUGCCCGUCGUGUGCGGUCGUCGCGCAUCGAGGGCUCGAAAAAAUUGCCGGGUUCCGGCUCGGCUUUCAACGCGACCCCAGGUCAGGCGGGGUUACCCGCUGAAUUUAAGCAUAUCAAUAAGCGGAGGA